This 89-nucleotide small RNA is filed under the name Mytilus galloprovincialis (Mediterranean mussel). The record is from RNAcentral. Lineage: Eukaryota; Metazoa; Mollusca; Bivalvia; Mytilida; Mytilidae.
UCGAGUUGAUCUGAUCGGCAGUGUGAACCUAGCUUGAUAUGUGUGUGUGACUUUAGCUAGGUUCACACUGCCGAUCAGAUCAACUCGAU